CACAUAUGGGAAGCAAGACCAGCAUCAGGAAGGUUCUAGAACUCACUUUACCACCUCCAGAAUUCUCUCUUCUCCAAAUUCAUUCUCAAGACUUCACCACUGCACAGAGGAGGAAUAUGCUGAGGUUGUGUCUGGGUCCAGUCCCCACCCCACAGCCAGCUGAGGGACCACUAGGAACCACUGUGAGAAUCAGGAAGAAUGCUCCUUCCUCUGCACAGAUCCACUUCUGUGCAAGGCCACUCAAGAUUUGGAGGAGGAGCUGGGACUGGCCAUCAGCCCCCACUUCACCUCUGUCAACCCAACACUUGGGGACCAUGAUAUCACACUUCCAAAGUCCUUACCCCACGCGGGCCCCUAAUGUUUAAUGUGAGUUCCUUAUAGUCCCACAGAACCUCUCACUAAAUACUCACCCCAUUUGAAUACCUGA
This is a non-coding RNA of Marmota flaviventris (yellow-bellied marmot), 427 nucleotides long. The record is from RefSeq and is a predicted model, not a curated record. NCBI's taxonomy places the organism in Eukaryota, Metazoa, Chordata, Mammalia, Rodentia, Sciuridae.